Molecule: ribosomal RNA, 381 nt
Filed under: uncultured bacterium
Lineage: Bacteria
Description: partial 16S ribosomal RNA
Rfam family: Bacterial small subunit ribosomal RNA
Source: RNAcentral
CCUACGGGAGUCAGCAGUGGGGAAUAUUGGGCAAUGGGCGCAAGCCUGACCCAGCAACGCAGCGUGAAGGAAGAAGGCCCUCGGGUUGUAAACUUCUUUUAUCAAGGACGAAACAAAUGAAGGGAAUUGACGAAUAUGCCACGGCUAACUACGUGCCAGCAGACACGGUAAUACGUAGGUGGCCAGCGUUAUCCGGAUUUACUGGGUGUAAAGGGAGUGUAGGCGGGACUGCAAGUCAGAUGUGAAAACCAUGGGCUCAAACCAAAGCAUGCAUUUGAAACUGGAAGUCUGUAGUGUUGUAGAGGUGGGCGGAAUUACGUGUGUAGCGGUGAAAUGCGUAGAUAUCACGAAGAACACCAGUGGCGAAGGCAGCCUACUGGA